UACGAAGGGGGCUAGCGUUGCUCGGAAUCACUGGGCGUAAAGCGCACGUAGGCGGAUCUUUAAGUCAGGGGUGAAAUCCUGGAGCUCAACUCCAGAACUGCCCUUGAUACUGGGGACCUUGAGUCCGGAAGAGAUGAGUGGAACUCCGAGUGUAGAGGUGAAAUUCGAUAGAUAUUCGCAAGAACACCAGUGGCGAAGGCGGCUAACUGGUCCGGUUCUGACGCUGAGGCGCGAAAGCGUGGGGGAGCAAACAGG
This 255-nucleotide ribosomal RNA is filed under the name uncultured bacterium. Its description in RNAcentral is "partial 16S ribosomal RNA". It matches the Rfam family "Bacterial small subunit ribosomal RNA", at positions 524 to 776 of the family's 1533-position model. The record is from RNAcentral.